RNAcentral lists this ribosomal RNA (377 nucleotides) under uncultured fungus. RNAcentral's name for it is "eukaryotic LSU rRNA". The stretch from base 1 to 96 matches the Rfam family "5.8S ribosomal RNA", at positions 58 to 154 of the family's 154-position model. Lineage: Eukaryota; Fungi. The record is from RNAcentral.
UACCCUAGUGUGAAUUGCAGAAUUCCGCGAAUCAUCGAGUCUUGAACGCAAGUUGCGCCCGAGGCUUGUCCCGAGGGCAUGCCUGCCUGAGCGUCACCGCAGUCCCACCCGCAUCCCCCCUCGUCGGGGGAUGAAGGAGUGGAAUUGGCCGUCCGAGACUUGGCGCGAGUGCCCUCGUUUGCGGUCGGCUGAAAUGGAGCGUUCUGGACGCAGUCGGAGAGAGAGGCCGCGAGAAGGUGAUCCGCUCUUGUGGCGGAGUCUAUUUGACAGCGUCUCUCCCUUCGGUGGUCCUUGGAACUUGGAGCGAAUCGCCCCUCCUGCCGAGGGUGAAAUACAGCUUGGACCUCAGAUCAGGCAAGAUUACCCGCUGAGUUUAA